Molecule: long non-coding RNA, 354 nt
Organism: Gallus gallus (chicken)
Lineage: Eukaryota; Metazoa; Chordata; Aves; Galliformes; Phasianidae
Source: Ensembl
CCCACUGAGAACCAGUUGUCACUGCUUUACGUGAAGUGCAGGAGAAGGAGGGUAAGACUGGACAAGAAAUGGAGACAAUGGCUGAAUGCUUACAUGCUGGAGACCAAGGUUUGGAAGUGCUGCCUGCAUGUUUAUCAAGACUCCUAGAAUCAUUUCAAGAUAUUGGCCUGCGUGGAAAGAGAGCUGAAAGCUGCACAAAGGCUGUGACGGAGAUUUCCCAGCGCUUGCUUUGUGACAUUGAGCAAUCUGAUGGCUGCUGUUAUCUCCACCCGUGGGGAAAUUGUGCUUGGAAAACCACCCGGAGCAUUCAGUAGUGCUACCAACAGCACCAACACCAAUGCAACUCUCUCUUUG